AAUGAUCAUGCAUGAAGAGUGUUUAGAAGGCAAUUAUAACUCUAUUGAAAAGUUGAGGCGAGCAGGUCCUUCAACUGGAUCUCAUCAACAUGUUAGACAGGUAAUUAUAGUUUAAAUUCUUUACUUAGAAAGUACAUGAGUUGUCUUAUCUGCUUUGGGAAAUAUCUUUCAUUCCAAAUUGCAGUGUCAUAUAGAUGCCAAAAUUUUCUAAGGAUAUACAUUGACAUUGAAGUUUGUAAUGUUCAUCCUAUUGGGAUAUCAUUGGGGUUACUCAACUUAAUACCCAAUCCCUCAUGUGGUUCAGCUUGAGAUUAGGAACAUUGUCAUGUGACAGAAAUAUGUAUAGCAGCAUAAUUGAGCAUGUAUCAUCAAUCUGUUGCAAAAUACAAGCAGUGGAACCAUUGAAGUGUCAUUUGAAGGUCUAGUAAAUCUCAUGGAAUUUUCCUGCAUGGGACUUGGUUACUUGACACUUUCUAUAAACUGCCAUCUCGUGUCUCUAAAGGAGAAAUCAUUGCAAGUAAUUUGGGAUUGGAAAUCUUUUUGUUACAGAGUAUGCCAGAACUUACAAGUGAAAUGAUUUUCAUUAGCCUGGUUUUUCCUUUAUAUUUUGUUCAUCUAUUGUGUGAUAGGCGGCAGAUAACGAUAACGAUGAUGAUGAUGACGACGACG
This 669-nucleotide unclassified non-coding RNA is filed under the name Hevea brasiliensis (rubber tree). Lineage: Eukaryota; Viridiplantae; Streptophyta; Magnoliopsida; Malpighiales; Euphorbiaceae. The record is from RNAcentral.